GAAGCUGUUGGCGACAAGCUUGUAAAACUGUAGAUACUUACACCGAGGCAAUAGAAAACCACCCACAAGGACACACAUCUGGGGAGCAGAAAAAACACACACACCACACACAGGCAGCAGCUAGUGUGUAUGGGCGUGUCCUUGCCAUUAGAGGCGCUAGACGAAACACAAACACGCUGAUUCAAUUGCAACUCUCCCACACUAUCGCUCGCUGCAUGUACUAUUGCCAGAAUUUAAGGGAGCUUAAAAGUCCCUGGAAACGGCACGCACAAGUUAACAAUCAUUUAAUUUGCAUGUUUCAAAUAACAAUUUUGGCCGCUUCCAACCCCACUGAUAAAUUGCAGUUGCCGGCAAAGCUCUAAUUGCAAAUCGAGAAUAAUGGGCCCCCAAUGGAAUGGAAACUAAGUAUAUAUAUUUGAACGAGUUGGACAAUGAUCGAAUUUACAUUCACAAAAAGAGUUAUUUUGGAACGGAGCUACACCUGAAAGUUCCACGAACAGACCAGACUGUGGCAAUUUGUUUCCAAGGUAAUUAGUUCCGCGAAAGUGCACUUUUUGCUCAAAGUAAUUAGUUCAGUGGAGUUUC
RNAcentral lists this long non-coding RNA (585 nucleotides) under Drosophila guanche. Lineage: Eukaryota; Metazoa; Arthropoda; Insecta; Diptera; Drosophilidae. The record is from RNAcentral.